AUAAAGUCCAACAUAAAAGAAGAGGGAGAUCUUGUUCAAUAUCUCAUGGAGUUGGCAGAGACAUAGCAAUAAUGAUGAUGUUUCAUCUUUAUGUGAAUUUGUUGAUGCAGUAAGUUAUGACUAAAAUUCUAGUUUACAUUUUCCAUGUAUCCCUCGCAUCUGCACGUGAUAGGUUCAGCUUCUUUUGACCAUCAAAUGAUACUUUACUAAAGCUUGAAAGUUUAAUUUUAUUCAUGAUAAUCUAUAUGCAGCAAGUCUCAAAUUAAGGUUGUUAUA
Molecule: unclassified non-coding RNA, 276 nt
Filed under: Hevea brasiliensis (rubber tree)
Lineage: Eukaryota; Viridiplantae; Streptophyta; Magnoliopsida; Malpighiales; Euphorbiaceae
Source: RNAcentral